Molecule: ribosomal RNA, 468 nt
Filed under: uncultured bacterium
Lineage: Bacteria
Description: partial 16S ribosomal RNA
Rfam family: Bacterial small subunit ribosomal RNA
Source: RNAcentral
GACGAACGCUGGCGGCGUGCUUAACACAUGCAAGUCGAACGGAAAGGCCCUGCUUUUGUGGGGUGCUCGAGUGGCGAACGGGUGAGUAACACGUGAGUAUCCUGCCCUUGACAUUGUGAUAACUUCAGGAAACUGGGGCUAAUACCGGAUAGGAGCUCCUGCUGCAUGGUGGGGGUUGGAAAGUUUCGGCGGUUGGGGAUGGACUCGCGGCUUAUCAGCUUGUUGGUGGGGUAGUGGCUUACCAAGGCUUUGACGGGUAGCCGGCCUGAGAGCGUGACCGGCCACAUUGGGACUGAGAUACGGCCCAGACGCCUACGGGAGGCAGCAGUGGGGAAUAUUGCACAGUGGGCGGAAGCCUGAUGCAGAGACGCCGCGUGCGGGAUGACGGCCUUCGGGUUGUAAACCGCUGUCGACUGUGACGAAGCGUGAGUGACGGUAAUGGGUAAAGAAGCACCGGCUAACUACGUG